CAAGUGGUACCUUUUCAUGCAUAUAGAUCAGACUCUUGUCUAAAUUUACCAUUUGUCCAGACACCUUUUCAUAAUCAAUCAAUACCUUCAUCAUUUUCUUCAUUGAGUAUGACUGACCUGAACAGAACAGUAUAGUAUCAUCAGCAUAACUCAAGUGAUUGGUCUCUUGGCUCCACUUUGGUAAACCAAAACCUUUGUACUUCUGAUCCUUGU
RNAcentral lists this long non-coding RNA (213 nucleotides) under Solanum tuberosum (potato). RNAcentral's name for it is "long non-coding RNA (STUB_LNC007031)". Lineage: Eukaryota; Viridiplantae; Streptophyta; Magnoliopsida; Solanales; Solanaceae. The record is from RNAcentral.